This 498-nucleotide ribosomal RNA is filed under the name uncultured bacterium. RNAcentral's name for it is "partial 16S ribosomal RNA". It matches the Rfam family "Bacterial small subunit ribosomal RNA", at positions 30 to 523 of the family's 1533-position model. The record is from RNAcentral.
AUUGAACGCUGGCGGCAUGCCUUACACAUGCAAGUCGAACGGCAGCACGGGGCAACCUGGUGGCGAGUGGCGAACGGGUGAGUAAUGUAUCGGAACGUACCUUUCAGUGGGGGAUAACGUAGCGAAAGUUACGCUAAUACCGCAUAUUCUGUGAGCAGGAAAGCAGGGGAUCUUAGGACCUUGCGCUGAUUGAGCGGCCGAUAUCAGAUUAGCUAGUUGGUGAGGGAAAGGCUCACCAAGGCGACGAUCUGUAGCGGGUCUGAGAGGAUGAUCCGCCACACUGGAACUGGGACACGGUCCAGACUCCUACGGGAGGCAGCAGUGGGGAAUUUUGGACAAUGGGCGCAAGCCUGAUCCAGCCAUGCCGCGUGAGUGAAGAAGGCCUUCGGGUUGUAAAGCUCUUUCAGCCGGGAAGAAAACGCAUGGGUUAAUACCCUGUGUGGAUGACGGUACCGGAAUAAGAAGCACCGGCUAACUACGUGCCAGCCGCCGCCGUAA